CUCGUGUCGUGAGAUGUUGGGUUAAGUCCCGCAACGAGCGCAACCCUCGUCCUUAGUUGCCAGCAUUUGGUUGGGCACUCUAAGGAAACUGCCGGUGAUAAGCCGGAGGAAGGUGGGGAUGACGUCAAGUCCUCAUGGCCCUUACAGGCUGGGCUACACACGUGCUACAAUGGCGGUGACAGUGGGCAGCAAGCACGCGAGUGUGAGCUAAUCUCCAAAAGCCGUCUCAGUUCGGAUUGUUCUCUGCAACUCGAGAGCAUGAAGGCGGAAUCGCUAGUAAUCGCGGAUCAGCAUGCCGCGGUGAAUACGUUCCCAGGCCUUGUACACACCGCCCGUCACACCAUGGGAGUUG
Molecule: ribosomal RNA, 352 nt
Filed under: uncultured bacterium
Lineage: Bacteria
Description: bacterial SSU rRNA
Rfam family: Bacterial small subunit ribosomal RNA
Source: RNAcentral